This 724-nucleotide ribosomal RNA is filed under the name uncultured Bacilli bacterium. Its description in RNAcentral is "bacterial SSU rRNA". It matches the Rfam family "Bacterial small subunit ribosomal RNA", at positions 47 to 750 of the family's 1533-position model. Lineage: Bacteria; Bacillati; Bacillota; Bacilli. The record is from RNAcentral.
CCUAAUACAUGCAAGUCGAGCGGACCGACGGGAGCUUGCUCCCUUAGGUCAGCGGCGGACGGGUGAGUAAUACGUGGGUAACCUGCCUGUAAGACUGGGAUAACUCCGGGAAACCGGGGCUAAUACCGGAUGCUUGAUUGAACCGCAUGGUUCCAAUCAUAAAAGGUGGCUUUCAGCUACCACUUACUGAUGGACCCGCGGCGCAUUAGCUAGUUGGUGAGGUAACGGCUCACCAAGGCGACGAUGCGUAGCCGACCUGAGAGGGUGAUCGGCCACACUGGGACUGAGACACGGCCCAGACUCCUACGGGAGGCAGCAGUAGGGAAUCUUCCGCAAUGGACGAAAGUCUGACGGAGCAACGCCGCGUGAGUGAUGAAGGUUUUCGGAUCGUAAAACUCUGUUGUUAGGGAAGAACAAGUACCGUUCGAAUAGGGCGGCACCUUGACGGUACCUAACCAGAAAGCCACGGCUAACUACGUGCCAGCAGCCGCGGUAAUACGUAGGUGGCAAGCGUUGUCCGGAAUUAUUGGGCGUAAAGCGCGCGCAGGCGGUUUCUUAAGUCUGAUGUGAAAGCCCCCGGCUCAACCGGGGAGGGUCAUUGGAAACUGGGGAACUUGAGUGCAGAAGAGGAGAGUGGAAUUCCACGUGUAGCGGUGAAAUGCGUACGAGAUGUGGAGGAACACCAGUGGCGAAGGCGACUCUCUGGUCUGUAGCUGACGCUGAG